GAUGAACGCUGGCGGCGUGCUUAACACAUGCAAGUCGAACGAUGAAGCCCAGCUUGCUGGGUGGAUUUGUGGCGAACGGGUGAGUAACACGUGAGUAACCUGCCCUUGACUCUGGGAUAAGCCUGGGAAACUGGGUCUAAUACUGGAUAUGACUUCUCAUCGCAUGGUGGGGGGUGGAAAGAUUUAUUGGUCUUGGAUGGACUCGCGGCCUAUCAGCUUGUUGGUGAGGUAAUGGCUCACCAAGGCGACGACGGGUAGCCGGCCUGAGAGGGUGACCGGCCACACUGGGACUGAGACACGGCCCAGACUCCUACGGGAGGCAGCAGUGGGGAAUAUUGCACAAUGGGCGCAAGCCUGAUGCAGCGACGCCGCGUGAGGGAUGACGGCCUUCGGGUUGUAAACCUCUUUCAGUAGGGAAGAAGCGAGAGUGACGGUACCUGCAGAAGAAGCGCCGGCUAACUACGUG
RNAcentral lists this ribosomal RNA (466 nucleotides) under uncultured bacterium. RNAcentral describes it as "partial 16S ribosomal RNA". It matches the Rfam family "Bacterial small subunit ribosomal RNA", at positions 28 to 507 of the family's 1533-position model. The record is from RNAcentral.